CCUACGGGAGGCAGCAGUGAGGAAUAUUGGUCAAUGGACGCAAGUCUGAACCAGCCAUGCCGCGUGCAGGAAGACGGCUCUAUGAGUUGUAAACUGCUUUUGUACGAGGGUAAACGCGGAUACGCGUAUCUGUCUGAAAGUAUCGUACGAAUAAGGAUCGGCUAACUCCGUGCCAGCAGCCGCGGUAAUACGGAGGAUUCAAGCGUUAUCCGGAUUUAUUGGGUUUAAAGGGUGCGUAGGCGGUCUGAUAAGUUAGAGGUGAAAUCCCGGGGCUCAACUUGGGAACUGCCUCUGAUACUGUUCGGCUAGAGAGUAGAUGCGGUAGGCGGAAUGUAUGGUGUAGCGGUGAAAUGCUUAGAGAUCAUACAGAACACCGAUUGCGAAGGCAGCCUACCAAGCUACAUCUGACGUUGAGGCACGAAAGCGUGGGGAGCAAACAGGAUUAGAUACCCGAGUAGUC
RNAcentral lists this ribosomal RNA (460 nucleotides) under uncultured bacterium. Its description in RNAcentral is "partial 16S ribosomal RNA". It matches the Rfam family "Bacterial small subunit ribosomal RNA", at positions 338 to 795 of the family's 1533-position model. The record is from RNAcentral.